This 148-nucleotide small RNA is filed under the name Callithrix jacchus (white-tufted-ear marmoset). RNAcentral's name for it is "Metazoan signal recognition particle RNA (ENSCJAG00000086126.1)". The record is from Rfam by way of RNAcentral. Lineage: Eukaryota; Metazoa; Chordata; Mammalia; Primates; Cebidae.
GCUGGGUGUGGUGGCGUGCGCCUGUAGUCCCAGCUACUCGGGAGGCUGAGGCAGGAGAAUUGCUUGAACCCAGGAGGGCAGAGGUUGCAGUGAGCCAAGAUCACACCACUGCACUCCAGCCUGGUGACAGAGCAAGACUCUGUCUCUC